Molecule: ribosomal RNA, 497 nt
Filed under: uncultured bacterium
Lineage: Bacteria
Description: partial 16S ribosomal RNA
Rfam family: Bacterial small subunit ribosomal RNA
Source: RNAcentral
GAUGAACGCUGGCGGCGUGCCUAAUACAUGCAAGUCGAGCGAACAGAUGAGGAGCUUGCUCCUCUGACGUUAGCGGCGGACGGGUGAGUAACACGUGGAUAACCUACCUAUAAGACUGGGAUAACUUCGGGAAACCGGAGCUAAUACCGGAUAAUAUAUUGAACCGCAUGGUUCAAUAGUGAAAGACGGUUUUGCUGUCACUUAUAGAUGGAUCCGCGCCGCAUUAGCUAGUUGGUAAGGUAACGGCUUACCAAGGCAACGAUGCGUAGCCGACCUGAGAGGGUGAUCGGCCACACUGGAACUGAGACACGGUCCAGACUCCUACGGGAGGCAGCAGUAGGGAAUCUUCCGCAAUGGGCGAAAGCUUGACGGAGCAACGCCGCGUGAGUGAUGAAGGUCUUCGGAUCGUAAAACUCUGUUAUUAGGGAAGAACAAAUGUGUAAGUAACUAUGCACGUUUUGACGGUACCUAAUCAGAAAGCCACGGCUAACUACGUG